This 253-nucleotide ribosomal RNA is filed under the name uncultured bacterium. RNAcentral describes it as "partial 16S ribosomal RNA". It matches the Rfam family "Bacterial small subunit ribosomal RNA", at positions 524 to 776 of the family's 1533-position model. The record is from RNAcentral.
UACGUAGGGGGCAAGCGUUAUCCGGAUUUACUGGGUGUAAAGGGAGCGUAGACGGCUGUGCAAGCCAGAUGUGAAAGCCCGGGGCUCAACCCCGGGACUGCAUUUGGAACUGUGUAGCUGGAGUGUCGGAGAGGCAGGCGGAAUUCCUGGUGUAGCGGUGAAAUGCGUAGAUAUCAGGAGGAACACCGGCGGCGAAGGCGGCCUGCUGGACCGUGACUGACGUUGAGGCUCGAGAGCGUGGGGAGCAAACAGG